This 24-nucleotide non-coding RNA is filed under the name Arabidopsis thaliana (thale cress). The record is from RNAcentral. Lineage: Eukaryota; Viridiplantae; Streptophyta; Magnoliopsida; Brassicales; Brassicaceae.
UUUCAUUCUGGUUCCUAUCGCCUA